This is a non-coding RNA of Caenorhabditis elegans, 71 nucleotides long. NCBI's taxonomy places the organism in Eukaryota, Metazoa, Nematoda, Chromadorea, Rhabditida, Rhabditidae. The record is from the annotation of a RefSeq genome assembly.
GCGGCGGUGGCUCAGGUGGGUAGAGGUUCGGCUAUGGCGCAGAAGGUCGCGGGUUCGAUCCCGCUGUGGUA